UGGGGAAUUUUGGACAAUGGGGGAAACCCUGAUCCAGCCAUUCCGCGUGUGCGAUGAAGGCCUUCGGGUUGUAAAGCACUUUUGGCAGGAAAGAAACGUCGCGGGUUAAUACCCCGCGGAACUGACGGUACCUGCAGAAUAAGCACCGGCUAACUACGUGCCAGCAGCCGCGGUAAUACGUAGGGUGCAAGCGUUAAUCGGAAUUACUGGGCGUAAAGCGUGCGCAGGCGGUUCGGAAAGAAAGAUGUGAAAUCCCAGAGCUUAACUUUGGAACUGCAUUUUUAACUACCGGGCUAGAGUGUGUCAGAGGGAGGUGGAAUUCCGCGUGUAGCAGUGAAAUGCGUAGAUAUGCGGAGGAACACCGAUGGCGAAGGCAGCCUCCUGGGAUAACACUGACGCUCAUGCACGAAAGCGUGGGGAGCAAACAGGAUUAGAUACCCUGGUAGUCCACGCCCUAAACGAUGUCAACUAGCUGUUGGGGUCUUCGGACCUUGGUAGGCGCAGCUAACGCGUGAAGUUGACCGCCUGGGGAGUACGGUC
Molecule: ribosomal RNA, 540 nt
Filed under: uncultured bacterium
Lineage: Bacteria
Description: partial 16S ribosomal RNA
Rfam family: Bacterial small subunit ribosomal RNA
Source: RNAcentral